UUUAAAUUAAUAAAUAUUUUUAAAUAGACUCAUUUACUAUAACAUUAAUAAGACAUUUUGCCUCAUUAGUGUAGAUAAAAAAAUCAUUU
Long non-coding RNA from Sinocyclocheilus rhinocerous, 89 nucleotides. RefSeq lists it as uncharacterized. The record is from RefSeq and is a predicted model, not a curated record. Lineage: Eukaryota; Metazoa; Chordata; Actinopteri; Cypriniformes; Cyprinidae. The transcript has 3 exons.